AACGAACGCUGGCGGCAGGCCUAACACAUGCAAGUCGAACGCCCCGCAAGGGGAGUGGCAGACGGGUGAGUAACGCGUGGGAACCUACCUUUCGGUGCGGAAUAACUUCGGGAAACCAAAGCUAAUACCGCAUACGCCCCACGGGGGAAAGAUUUAUCGCCGAUAGAUGGGCCCGCGUCGGAUUAGCUAGUUGGUGAGGUAACGGCUCACCAAGGCUACGAUCCGUAGCUGGUCUGAGAGGAUGAUCAGCCACACUGGGACUGAGACACGGCCCAGACUCCUACGGGAGGCAGCAGUGGGGAAUAUUGGACAAUGGGCGCAAGCCUGAUCCAGCCAUGCCGCGUGAGUGAAGAAGGCCUUAGGGUUGUAAAGCUCUUUUAGUGGGGACGAUAAUGACGGUACCCACAGAAUAAGCCCCGGCUAACUUCGUGCCAGCCGCCGCUGUAA
RNAcentral lists this ribosomal RNA (447 nucleotides) under uncultured bacterium. RNAcentral describes it as "partial 16S ribosomal RNA". It matches the Rfam family "Bacterial small subunit ribosomal RNA", at positions 29 to 523 of the family's 1533-position model. The record is from RNAcentral.